Molecule: ribosomal RNA, 702 nt
Filed under: Triticum aestivum (bread wheat)
Lineage: Eukaryota; Viridiplantae; Streptophyta; Magnoliopsida; Poales; Poaceae
Description: partial small subunit ribosomal RNA
Source: RNAcentral
GGCUACCCACUUGAUGUCUAUGGCACGGUCAUAGCCAGGGAUGAUCUGGAUCGCAAAUGUGUCUAUCUAUUCUGGCACGACAAGGACAAUCGCCAGUUCAUCACCUCAUAGGACAAUUCAUUGAUUUUGACUGGUCCAAAGAGAGGACUUGCGCUCUGCGGUUCGCUAUUCUUUGAAAUCGAUCUGAAGGUUAAGGAUGUGCAUGGGAGGGAGGUCAAGGAUGAAAGGCUCAGCAAAGGCACGCUGGAUGUUAAUGGCAUCACAAGACAGGCAUCAAACUUCGAAUAUGGGGUUGAAAAAAACACGCUUGUCAGCAUGCACAGCACAUUGGAGAUGAACUUUGCAUUCGUUAGGGACGCCGUGGAGGGCACGGUUGAGAUCAGGAUCCUUGAGGGGCUUGUUGAUUUCCAUGGUAAGAUCAUUGCUACCACCACCAGAGUUCCAUGUGAAAUUGUGCUACAUGAUAGCAGAGUGAAUGGCUUGCUCACUGCCGGCGAUGAUCAAGUCAUGCGAACAGCGCGCCGCGUGGUAUGUCUAUCUGCAGGUGAGAUGCUCUUGGUGACUGUUGCUCCUGAAGGUGGCGAUGAGCUCUCUCGCCACACUGUUAGUUUUGCUUCAAGGCUCAACGGUUGUGCCGCCGAGAACAUGGUGUGUGGUAACUAUAAGAUGCAAGUGAAGGUCACUUGGUCGAUUGUGAUGUAA